Cyprinus carpio carpio is the source of this 710-nucleotide long non-coding RNA. Lineage: Eukaryota; Metazoa; Chordata; Actinopteri; Cypriniformes; Cyprinidae. The record is from Ensembl.
UUUCAUCUGAAAAAUAAGGAAAAAUCUAAUUGAAGAAGAAGUAAACCUGAGAGAAUUGUGGAACAGAGGUAUGAAGGAGGGGCUUGCUAAAGGAAGCCAGGACAGUCUCGCCAUGCAAUUUAAUCACUGUAUACCCAGGAGGAAGCUGCGGUCCUGUGUUUACUGGCACGUUAGAUCCAAGCGUCAGGUGCUCCUGCCAUGAUUAUGAGUGUCCAAUCUACAUCUGUAUGUAAAUAUAUGUCGCUUCUUGCAUUCUAAAAACGGAAUAAUGAUUGCAUCGAGAAGCCUCCUCCUCAAAAAAUUACAUAUUCUAUUAAUAAAUCAAAUAAUAUAUAGAUUAUUUAAUUAAAAGGUUUUUUGAACACAGGUCCACAGGUACUGAAAUAUAUUUAUUUAGUAAAUUCUAAUAAAGUUUAAAUUAUAAUUUGAAUCCAGGUCCACAGAUACUGAAUUUGAUUCAGAAGCCUCCUCAGAUUUCAUAGUAAUGUUUUCUUUUUUUGUUGUUGUUGUUAACAACUGUUUAUUGUUUUUUUACUGGAAAUAUUAUUAUAAAACAAAUAGCAUCUGUACAAAUUUAGAACCUACCCCAACCUUGGUAGACUUAAAUAAAUAAAUAAAUAAAUAAAUAAUAACAAUAAAAUAAUUUUUACAAAGAUUUUAGAAAAACUGACACAACAUUAAAAGCUAAAUGCCAUACAUUUACAGUUUUC